This 1652-nucleotide long non-coding RNA is filed under the name Olea europaea (common olive). RNAcentral describes it as "long non-coding RNA (OEUR_LNC005129)". The record is from RNAcentral. Lineage: Eukaryota; Viridiplantae; Streptophyta; Magnoliopsida; Lamiales; Oleaceae.
UUAUUUCUCUUGCAGCCUUAAAGGGCCCAUCCCUCUUACCCUCCUCUCUCUCUCUCCAUAUAUAAUAUCUCUCUCGUUAUCUGCUUCAUCAUCACAGCCAAAAUAAUCUGGAUUCUCUCUGUUCAAACUCCUGUGCAUGGCAGGUCCUCUCUGCACCAUUUUUCAGAGAAAAAAAGAGACUUUAUUUUUUAACUAUACUGAGAAAAGCAAAUACAAAUUUGACGAGAAAGGAGAGUAAAGAGAGUAUGAAAACAACAUACUUUUGUUACCUGAAUCUAACAACUAAAGGGUUAUGGCAAAUAGAAAAAGAGAGGGUGUGGGUGUGGGUGUGGGUGUGGGUGUGGGGGUGGGCGUGGGUGUGUGUUGGGGGUACUGUUGCACCAGCAGUGUACUUUCAGUCAUUAGAGAGAGAGAGAGAGAGGGUGGAGAACAAUGAUGAUGAUGCAAGCAAAAUUGGAAGGGUUUUGAAGAAGAUCUGAUUGGGUCCGUUGGGAGAUCUUUGACAGGAUUUAUUCAUGCAAUUACGACACCUAUCUACUUCUUUUGGUUUCAGUACACUUGAGGUCCUGCAAUUUCGAGUGUGCACUCCACUGUACCAAAUAAUAUUGAAGAACAGUAAACUUAAAAUUCUAUAUUAGCCCACAUUUGAUAUAAUUUUAAUCUCAAGUCAAAGUUUUUAAUUAAAUUUAAUCACACAUUUUAUUGAAAUCACAACUUUUUAAUUAUAUAUUUUAUCAACUUUUAUCAAAAUCUAUUAAAUUUUGAUUUUAAUCUACACCAGCUAGGAGCUAAACAUAUGUUGCGUGAUUCAAUCACAAAUAUAUGAUAUUGGAAAUAAGUAAUAAAGUAGGUUAAGAGAUUUUAACUCAAGGGUCAUAAAUUUAAUGAACAUGCAUUAACACCACCCCACUAAAAGCAAGAAAGCAAGAGUGGUAAAUAUAAUUUACAUUUGGUUGCCCAGGAAUGCCCAAAUUAUUUAUAUAUGAUUUUGAUCAAUAUAAUUUAUAUUUAUCGAAAAAGAAAGCAAGCAAGACUGGGUGAAAUAGCCAACAAAAUGGGCAGCUAGAGACUUUUUAGAGGAUGAAUGAAAUGGACCCAUUAAUAAAAGAUAGACGUAUAGAGCCACACGAGUUAGAACAAAGGACAUAGAGAUAGCAUAGAGAUACAGAUAGAUCUAGAGAGAGUAAGAGGAGUGAGAAAACCAUUAUAAGUUACACUUUGGUGCAGCAGUUCCACUUAUUUCUCUUGCAGCCUUAAAGGGCCCAUCCCUCUUACCCUCCUCUCUCUCUCUCCAUAUAUAAUAUCUCUCUCGUUAUCUGCUUCAUCAUCACAGCCAAAAUAAUCUGGAUUCUCUCUGUUCAAACUCCUGUGCAUGGCAGGUCCUCUCUGCACCAUUUUUCAGAGAAAAAAAGAGACUUUAUUUUUUAACUAUACUGAGAAAAGCAAAUACAAAUUUGACGAGAAAGGAGAGUAAAGAGAGUAUGAAAACAACAUACUUUUGUUACCUGAAUCUAACAACUAAAGGGUUAUGGCAAAUAGAAAAAGAGAGGGUGCGGGUGUGGGUGUGGGUGUGGGGGUGGGCGUGGGUGUGUGUUGGGGGUACUGUUGCACCAGCAGUGUACUUUCAGUCAUUAGAGAGAGAGAGAGAGAGA